GACGAACGCUGGCGGCGUGCCUAAUACAUGCAAGUUGAGCGCUGAAGGAUGGUACUUGUACCAACUGGAUGAGCAGCGAACGGGUGAGUAACGCGUGGGGAAUCUGCCUUUGAGCGGGGGACAACAUUUGGAAACGAAUGCUAAUACCGCAUAAAAACUUUAAACACAAGUUUUAAGAUUGAAAGAUGCAAUUGCAUCACUCAAAGAUGAUCCCGCGUUGUAUUAGCUAGUUGGUGGGGUAAAGGCCCACCAAGGCGAUGAUACAUAGCCGGCCUGGGAGGGUGGUCGGCCACAAUGGGACUGGGACACGGCCCCAACUCCUACGGGAGGCAGCAGUAGGGAAUCUUCGGCAAUGGACGAAAGUCGGACCGAGCAACGCCGCGGGGGUGAAGGAGGUUUUCGGGUCGUAAAACUCUGUUGGUAGAGAAGAAAGUUGGUGAGGGCGGAAAGCGCAUCAAGUGACGGUAACUACCCAGAAAGGGACGGCUAACUACGUG
This 497-nucleotide ribosomal RNA is filed under the name uncultured bacterium. RNAcentral describes it as "partial 16S ribosomal RNA". It matches the Rfam family "Bacterial small subunit ribosomal RNA", at positions 28 to 507 of the family's 1533-position model. The record is from RNAcentral.